UUCCCACAUCCACCGCAUUGAGGUUGAUUGGAAUGUAAUUUCAUGACCCAUCCGUGAUUAUGAACAGAUUGUUAUGUGGGUAGAUGGUCACCCUGUUGAACUGUGCAGCCAGAGCAAAGAUUUUUUGUUUACCAUCAUCAGAUCUGUUAUGGUUAAAUAGCCUGGAGAAGAUGGUUGUGCCAUCAAUGUUGAACAGGAGCUGAAGGGAAAUUUUGGUUUCAGAAAUACUCUUGAUCAAAUUUAUGCUAUGAGUGUUGUUUUUCAUCCUUAAGCUCAGAAGAAGAUAUGAAAAUACAGAUAUUUUAUGGUUAAUUGGCUUGGUGAAGCUAGCUGCCCCUGCUGAGGAAUCUGAGAUCAACUUUGAACAGGAGAUGAUGAAAUUUUUUGAUUUAGUUGACAUGAAACAUUAUCAAUAGCUGAUUAUUUACUUGGGAGGCCAUUCAGUGGAUACAAUGUUUUUCCAAUUUUGUCAAUAUAGUUUACACAUUGGAAUUUUUAAGACCACUACAAGCGAUGUGUUUCUGAUGUUGUUAAGCACAACGAGGUACAAAAAGUCAAAAACUGCUGCUCUAAAAAGUGAGGUUAUAGCGUUUAUGUCUCCAGCAAGUAAUUGUAUAAUUUGAUUGAGAUUGAGCUACGUCCUUCCAUGAGCGAGGGCAACGUCAGGCAAGAUGGCUUAAACCGGUGCAUGGAAGAUUUAAGCUUAAUUUUGAUGGGAGUAGUCUUGGAAAUCGUGGAAAUGCUGGUGGAGGUGGUUUACUUCGUGAUGGUUCAAGCAACUUCAUUUUUGGCUUUUCAAUUUUUUUGGCAGUUGCUCAAAUAAUGAAGCUGAGUUUAUGCGCUAUUCUUGAAGGCUUACUUGUGUGUAAGCAAUUGGGUUAUGAUGGUAUUGGCAUUGAAUGUGAUUCUAAUAUUGUUGUUAGCUGGAUUCGGUCUCGUUCUUGCAAGCUUUGGUAUCUUUGGGACUUCUAGGGACCACUUAAGGGGUUAUUGGAUGUUAAGGAUUAUUCUAUUCAUCAUAUUUUUAGAGCCAAAAGGAGGCUGAUGCUUUGGCUCGUAGUUGUGCUAGUUAAACCAGCUUCUUAUUUACCAAUGUGGAACAUCUCCCUAGGCUUAUAAAAAGUUUGAUUAGGUUAGAUAAAAUGGGUAUUGUUUAUAUUAAGACUUGUUUAGUUUGUUCUUUUGUGUUUGCUUUAUUGUCUUUUGUUUGUUUUGAUACUUGGGAUAUUGUUUUGUUUUUCUUUGUUUAAGUGUCUAGUUGUUACCACGGUUUUCCUCCGCCAUAAGUGAGGUCUCUCAAUAAAGCUUGGAGGUUCCGCCCUCCUUUUCUAGAAAAA
Long non-coding RNA from Lotus japonicus, 1337 nucleotides. RefSeq lists it as uncharacterized. The record is from RefSeq and is a predicted model, not a curated record. The transcript is spliced from 5 exons. NCBI's taxonomy places the organism in Eukaryota, Viridiplantae, Streptophyta, Magnoliopsida, Fabales, Fabaceae.